CUCGCCAGUUCACAAACCACAGCCACCGAAAGAGUCACAGCAACCGGAUGAUCCUUACGAUCAGUCUCCGGUGAAGAACCGUCGCAGUCCUCCUCCACCAGCUCCUGUAAACUCUCCGUCCAUUCCUCUUCCAUCACCUCCUCUACCACCACCGGUUCACUCUCCCCCACCUCCUGUUAACUCUCCUCCACCACCGGUUUAUUCGCCACCACCACCACCUGUCUACUCUCCUCCACCGCCCGUCUUUUCACCACCUCCUCCUCCGGUUAACUCACCACCACCACCAGUUCUCUCUCCACCGCCACCUGUUCACUCACCGCCGCCACCUGUCAACUCGCCACCACCACCGGUAUUUUCUCCUCCAGCUUAUCCGCCUAAGUCCAGUUCACCACCGCAAACACCAAGCGAACCUUCACCAUCGCCAAUGAUCUUUUCUCCACAACCGUCGCAAUCUCCACCAGUAGUUUCCUCCCCUCCUCCAGGACCGCCAAAGGUCGACUGCCCACCGGCUGCACAAGCACCAGCUCCAAGUGAUGAACUCAUCACACCAACACCAGCUCCGGUGGAGAACAAACAGACGCCGUCUGCACAAGCACCAGCUCCAAGUGAUGAGCUCAUCAUACCACCCUUCGUCGGCCACCAAUACGCAUCGCCACCACCUCCAAUGUUCGAAGGCUACUAAUAUCAAUCGAAGAGAGAGAGAGAGAGGA
This 710-nucleotide long non-coding RNA is filed under the name Brassica napus (rape). RNAcentral's name for it is "long non-coding RNA (BNAP_LNC006951)". The record is from RNAcentral. Lineage: Eukaryota; Viridiplantae; Streptophyta; Magnoliopsida; Brassicales; Brassicaceae.